AUUCUUAUUCGUUUUGAAACUCGAUAUAUCCUAUACCUUUUUUUCUCCCUUUUUAUUUCCUUUUCAUUCUUCGAUCUUACCAUGAAAGAAAGAACAUAUGGUUUUUACGUGUCGAACGCGUUCGUUGAUCCGUCAUCUCUAACUUGUUAUUUCUCUAGUUGUUAUUUCGAUCUUUGAGAAGAUUCACCUUUGUUUUCAAAGAAACGCGAAACGUAAAAAGUCGACGAUUGGCUGCUUAUCUCUCUCCGUUCGAUUUAUUCUCUCGGGUGAUUUGAAAAAAAAAAAAAAAAAAAUACAUUUCCAUCGUUAAACAAAUUUUCGAUAAUUUGUUUAGCUGGAUCUUCGAAUUGGACUAUUUAAUGGUACCAUUAACGGCGGCUAUUCCUAGCACGUUAUGAUACACAUUUUAAAAUAUUUAAUGAGAGGAGAAAUUUGAACAGCUGUUAAAAAGACGUGCUUUCAGAUGGAUAAGCAGCUAUCGAAUGUAACUGGCAAAUAUUUUUUGACUAAUUUAAUCGCACAUCUAUUUUUUCUUUUUUAUAUAAGACAUUUGAGUUCAAUGGAUAGUCGAGCGAUGCUCUCUCUCUCUCAUCACUUUAUUAUAUUAUGAAAUUUAUAUAAUACAAACUUAUUUUAUUUUUAUAAAACAGCCGGCUAACAGACGGUAUCGAGAAAGGUCAAUUUGAUGAGUCGCUCAGCAGCCGUGAUAAGGGAUCCUUCCUAUCUUUAUCUUUUUCUCUGUCUGCCAAUAUUUUUUUUCUCAUACACACGCUCAUAAACGAGGGGUGAGAGAGAGAGAGAGAGAGAGAGAGAGAGAGAGAGAGAGAGAGAGGGGGGGGGAGGAGAGGGGAGGAGAGGGAGAGAGACUAUAUUCAGAGAGUCUCCUCUUUAUCUGUACCUUGGAAAAUGUCAAGUCGUUCUGGCGAGGUUUAAGCACGCGUCGUUAGAAGCCACGUUGGCAUCUGCUAUCCGAAAUUCUAUUAAUCGUAAAGCGAGCCCUCUUUUUAGCCCAUCUCUAGGGCGAACAAUUUCCUCUCAUCAGUGGUAGAUCGUUUCGUUUUUUUAAAAGCAUAUGCUUUCCGACAGAUCUUCUCGUAAAAGUCUCUUAUUUAAGAUCACAGAUCUUCCAAGAGAGCUUGCGCUCUUUUAUAUGCGAUUUUCGAUGGAACUUAAAUGCGAUAAAAAUAAACGUGUGAACUUUUAUGAAGAACUUGUUAUGCAAAGAUAAUUCUUUAAAAACUCGGCAUAUUAUCGUUGGUGUUCGAUUAAGAUGUGGCCGUCGAUGUGAGUGGGCUUAAGAUGUUCGUUAACGCUUACACCUCCGACAAUAUUUUAUACGAAAGUAUUGGCGAUACGGAGAAAAGUUAAAAGAGCGAUUUCUAUGGACCACUGCUUAAAAUCCAACACUCUGCAUGAGAUACUCGACUCAUAGGUCGACAUGUCCGAGGAAGAAAGGGACAACUUGAAGGAAGAUUUGAUGAAGGUUAUUCAAGGUCGUGUCUCGAACGUACAACACACAAGUGCCCACUCGCAAUCUCAUCAAUCAGACCUUCAUUUCGUUGUCCUUGCUCGCCGUCGUGGCUCUCAUUUUUGUAUUCUUCGUUUAUAAACUUUUCAAAUGCUUGAGGGAGCGCGAACAAAAGAGAGAGGAGAAAAAGAAGAACAAACAGUUGAAGAAGAAAAAGUAGUCGAGGGGAUCUUCGAAUCCAACGACGAAACAAGUUGACUGAAACGAGAGAGUACAAAAUCCUACUUUCCACCGAAUAAAAGUGACAAUUUAUAAUAAAAAUGAGCUGUUACGUUGCUUUACGUAAGAAGCAAUUAUCUACGGUCUCACGUGUCAAAUGAUGAAGUCAAUUGAGAUUUUAUUGUCAAUAUUACGUUUUGUUAAAUAAAGUAAUAUAUUUAUGAAUAUA
Long non-coding RNA from Vespa velutina, 1916 nucleotides. RefSeq lists it as uncharacterized. The record is from RefSeq and is a predicted model, not a curated record. NCBI's taxonomy places the organism in Eukaryota, Metazoa, Arthropoda, Insecta, Hymenoptera, Vespidae. The transcript is spliced from 2 exons.